AUUGAACGCUAGCGGGAUGCUUUACACAUGCAAGUCGAACGGCAGCGCGGACUUCGGUCUGGCGGCGAGUGGCGAACGGGUGAGUAAUGUAUCGGAACGUGCCCAGUAGCGGGGGAUAACUACGCGAAAGCGUAGCUAAUACCGCAUACGCCCUACGGGGGAAAGCAGGGGAUCGUAAGACCUUGCACUAUUGGAGCGGCCGAUAUCGGAUUAGCUAGUUGGUGAGGUAACGGCUCACCAAGGCGACGAUCCGUAGCUGGUUUGAGAGGACGACCAGCCACACUGGGACUGAGACACGGCCCAGACUCCUACGGGAGGCAGCAGUGGGGAAUUUUGGACAAUGGGGGCAAACCUGAUACAGCCAUCCCGCGUGUGCGAUGAAGGCCUUCGGGUUGUAAAGCACUUUUGGCAGGAAAGAAACGUCGCGGGCUAAUACCCCGUGGAACUGACGGUACCUGCAGAAUAAGCACCGGCUAACUACGUG
Molecule: ribosomal RNA, 484 nt
Filed under: uncultured bacterium
Lineage: Bacteria
Description: partial 16S ribosomal RNA
Rfam family: Bacterial small subunit ribosomal RNA
Source: RNAcentral